This 2894-nucleotide ribosomal RNA is filed under the name Escherichia coli. Its description in RNAcentral is "bacterial LSU rRNA". It matches the Rfam family "Bacterial large subunit ribosomal RNA". The record is from RNAcentral. RNAcentral also lists the same sequence under 1 other name. Lineage: Bacteria; Pseudomonadati; Pseudomonadota; Gammaproteobacteria; Enterobacterales; Enterobacteriaceae.
ACUAAGCGUACACGGUGGAUGCCCUGGCAGUCAGAGGCGAUGAAGGACGUGCUAAUCUGCGAUAAGCGUCGGUAAGGUGAUAUGAACCGUUAUAACCGGCGAUUUCCGAAUGGGGAAACCCAGUGUGAUUCGUCACACUAUCAUUAACUGAAUCCAUAGGUUAAUGAGGCGAACCGGGGGAACUGAAACAUCUAAGUACCCCGAGGAAAAGAAAUCAACCGAGAUUCCCCCAGUAGCGGCGAGCGAACGGGGAGGAGCCCAGAGCCUGAAUCAGUGUGUGUGUUAGUGGAAGCGUCUGGAAAGGCGCGCGAUACAGGGUGACAGCCCCGUACACAAAAAUGCACAUGCUGUGAGCUCGAUGAGUAGGGCGGGACACGUGGUAUCCUGUCUGAAUAUGGGGGGACCAUCCUCCAAGGCUAAAUACUCCUGACUGACCGAUAGUGAACCAGUACCGUGAGGGAAAGGCGAAAAGAACCCCGGCGAGGGGAGUGAAAAAGAACCUGAAACCGUGUACGUACAAGCAGUGGGAGCACAGAGCAAUCUGUGUGACUGCGUACCUUUUGUAUAAUGGGUCAGCGACUUAUAUUCUGUAGCAAGGUUAACCGAAUAGGGGAGCCGAAGGGAAACCGAGUCUUAACUGGGCGUUAAGUUGCAGGGUAUAGACCCGAAACCCGGUGAUCUAGCCAUGGGCAGGUUGAAGGUUGGGUAACACUAACUGGAGGACCGAACCGACUAAUGUUGAAAAAUUAGCGGAUGACUUGUGGCUGGGGGUGAAAGGCCAAUCAAACCGGGAGAUAGCUGGUUCUCCCCGAAAGCUAUUUAGGUAGCGCCUCGUGAAUUCAUCUCCGGGGGUAGAGCACUGUUUCGGCAAGGGGGUCAUCCCGACUUACCAACCCGAUGCAAACUGCGAAUACCGGAGAAUGUUAUCACGGGAGACACACGGCGGGUGCUAACGUCCGUCGUGAAGAGGGAAACAACCCAGACCGCCAGCUAAGGUCCCAAAGUCAUGGUUAAGUGGGAAACGAUGUGGGAAGGCCCAGACAGCCAGGAUGUUGGCUUAGAAGCAGCCAUCAUUUAAAGAAAGCGUAAUAGCUCACUGGUCGAGUCGGCCUGCGCGGAAGAUGUAACGGGGCUAAACCAUGCACCGAAGCUGCGGCAGCGACACUAUGUGUUGUUGGGUAGGGGAGCGUUCUGUAAGCCUGUGAAGGUGUGCUGUGAGGCAUGCUGGAGGUAUCAGAAGUGCGAAUGCUGACAUAAGUAACGAUAAAGCGGGUGAAAAGCCCGCUCGCCGGAAGACCAAGGGUUCCUGUCCAACGUUAAUCGGGGCAGGGUGAGUCGACCCCUAAGGCGAGGCCGAAAGGCGUAGUCGAUGGGAAACAGGUUAAUAUUCCUGUACUUGGUGUUACUGCGAAGGGGGGACGGAGAAGGCUAUGUUGGCCGGGCGACGGUUGUCCCGGUUUAAGCGUGUAGGCUGGUUUUCCAGGCAAAUCCGGAAAAUCAAGGCUGAGGCGUGAUGACGAGGCACUACGGUGCUGAAGCAACAAAUGCCCUGCUUCCAGGAAAAGCCUCUAAGCAUCAGGUAACAUCAAAUCGUACCCCAAACCGACACAGGUGGUCAGGUAGAGAAUACCAAGGCGCUUGAGAGAACUCGGGUGAAGGAACUAGGCAAAAUGGUGCCGUAACUUCGGGAGAAGGCACGCUGAUAUGUAGGUGAAGCGACUUGCUCGUGGAGCUGAAAUCAGUCGAAGAUACCAGCUGGCUGCAACUGUUUAUUAAAAACACAGCACUGUGCAAACACGAAAGUGGACGUAUACGGUGUGACGCCUGCCCGGUGCCGGAAGGUUAAUUGAUGGGGUCAGCGCAAGCGAAGCUCUUGAUCGAAGCCCCGGUAAACGGCGGCCGUAACUAUAACGGUCCUAAGGUAGCGAAAUUCCUUGUCGGGUAAGUUCCGACCUGCACGAAUGGCGUAAUGAUGGCCAGGCUGUCUCCACCCGAGACUCAGUGAAAUUGAACUCGCUGUGAAGAUGCAGUGUACCCGCGGCAAGACGGAAAGACCCCGUGAACCUUUACUAUAGCUUGACACUGAACAUUGAGCCUUGAUGUGUAGGAUAGGUGGGAGGCUUUGAAGUGUGGACGCCAGUCUGCAUGGAGCCGACCUUGAAAUACCACCCUUUAAUGUUUGAUGUUCUAACGUUGACCCGUAAUCCGGGUUGCGGACAGUGUCUGGUGGGUAGUUUGACUGGGGCGGUCUCCUCCUAAAGAGUAACGGAGGAGCACGAAGGUUGGCUAAUCCUGGUCGGACAUCAGGAGGUUAGUGCAAUGGCAUAAGCCAGCUUGACUGCGAGCGUGACGGCGCGAGCAGGUGCGAAAGCAGGUCAUAGUGAUCCGGUGGUUCUGAAUGGAAGGGCCAUCGCUCAACGGAUAAAAGGUACUCCGGGGAUAACAGGCUGAUACCGCCCAAGAGUUCAUAUCGACGGCGGUGUUUGGCACCUCGAUGUCGGCUCAUCACAUCCUGGGGCUGAAGUAGGUCCCAAGGGUAUGGCUGUUCGCCAUUUAAAGUGGUACGCGAGCUGGGUUUAGAACGUCGUGAGACAGUUCGGUCCCUAUCUGCCGUGGGCGCUGGAGAACUGAGGGGGGCUGCUCCUAGUACGAGAGGACCGGAGUGGACGCAUCACUGGUGUUCGGGUUGUCAUGCCAAUGGCACUGCCCGGUAGCUAAAUGCGGAAGAGAUAAGUGCUGAAAGCAUCUAAGCACGAAACUUGCCCCGAGAUGAGUUCUCCCUGACUCCUUGAGAGUCCUGAAGGAACGUUGAAGACGACGACGUUGAUAGGCCGGGUGUGUAAGCGCAGCGAUGCGUUGAGCUAACCGGUACUAAUGAACCGUGAGGCUUAACC